UACACUCCUGCGGGAGGCAGCAGUGGGGAAUAUUGCACAAUGGGCGCAAGCCUGAUGCAGCCAUGCCGCGUGUAUGAAGAAGGCCUUCGGGUUGUAAAGUACUUUCAGCGGGGAGGAAGGCGAUAAGGUUAAUAACCUUGUUGAUUGACGUUACCCGCAGAAGAAGCACCGGCUAACUCCGUGCCAGCAGCCGCGGUAAUACGGAGGGUGCAAGCGUUAAUCGGAAUUACUGGGCGUAAAGCGCACGCAGGCGGUCUGUCAAGUCGGAUGUGAAAUCCCCGGGCUCAACCUGGGAACUGCAUUCGAAACUGGCAGGCUAGAGUCUUGUAGAGGGGGGUAGAAUUCCAGGUGUAGUGGUGAAAUGCGUAGAGAUCUGGAGGAAUACCGGUGGCGAAGGCGGCCCCCUGGACAAAGACUGACGCUCAGGUGCGAAAGCGUGGGGAGCAAACAGGAUUAGAUACCCCGGUAGUCCCAUG
RNAcentral lists this ribosomal RNA (476 nucleotides) under uncultured organism. RNAcentral's name for it is "partial 16S ribosomal RNA". It matches the Rfam family "Bacterial small subunit ribosomal RNA", at positions 332 to 799 of the family's 1533-position model. The record is from RNAcentral.